UCAUCUACCUUCAGGACGGGGACAACAGCUGGAAACGGCUGCUAAUACCCGAUAUGCCGAAAGGUGAAAAGUUAUUUCGCCUGGAGAGGAGCUCGCGUCCGAUUAGCUAGUUGGUGGGGUAAAAGCUUACCAAGGCAACGAUCGGUAGCUGGUCUGAGAGGAUGAGCAGCCACACUGGAACUGAGACACGGUCCAGACUCCUACGGGAGGCAGCAGUGGGGAAUUUUCCGCAAUGGGCGAAAGCCUGACGGAGCAACGCCGCGUGGGGGAAGAAGGUUUUUGGAUUGUAAACCCCUUUUCUCAAGGAAGAACAAAAUGACGGUACUUGAGGAAUCAGCCUCGGCUAACUCCGUGCCAGCAGCCGCGGUAAUACGGAGGAAGGCAAGCGUUAUCCGGAAUUAUUGGGCGUAAAGCGUUCGUAGGCGGCUGUUCAAGUCUGCUGUCAAAGACCGAGGCUCAACCUCGGGUCGGCAGUGGAAACUGGAUAGCUAGAGGUCGGUAGGGGCAGAGGGAAUUCCCAGUGUAGCGGUGAAAUGCGUAGAUAUUGGGAAGAACACCGGUGGCGAAAGCGCUCUGCUGGGCCGAACCUGACGCUGAGGACGAAAGCUAGGGAGCG
RNAcentral lists this ribosomal RNA (616 nucleotides) under Oscillatoria sp. 1 SLR2. RNAcentral's name for it is "bacterial SSU rRNA". It matches the Rfam family "Bacterial small subunit ribosomal RNA", at positions 122 to 770 of the family's 1533-position model. Lineage: Bacteria; Bacillati; Cyanobacteriota; Cyanophyceae; Oscillatoriales; Oscillatoriaceae. The record is from RNAcentral.